RNAcentral lists this transfer RNA (98 nucleotides) under Actinocatenispora thailandica. Its description in RNAcentral is "tRNA-Pro". Lineage: Bacteria; Bacillati; Actinomycetota; Actinomycetes; Micromonosporales; Micromonosporaceae. The record is from RNAcentral.
CCUGCCGUCGGCCGCCGGCUCGGUACGGCCCGGCUCAGGGUGAGCCGGGCCGGUGCCGACCGGUUCGGUGCCGACCGGUUCGGUGCCGACCGGCCCGG